AACGAACGCUGGCGGCAUGCCUAACACAUGCCAGUCGAACGAGAACUUCGGGUCGGGUGGCGCACGGGUGCGUAACGCGUGGGAACCUGCCCUUAGGCUCGGCAUAACUCCCCGAAAGGGGUGCUAAUACCGGAUAAUGUCUUCGGACCAAAGCUUUAUCGACUUUGGGUGUGCCCGAGUUGGAUUAGCUAGUUGGUAUGGUAAAAGCCUACCAAGGCGACGAUCCAUAGCUGGUCUGAGAGGAUGAUCAGCCACACUGGGACUGAGACACGGCCCAGACUCCUGCGGGAGGCAGCAGUUGGGAAUAUUGGACAAUGGGCGAAAGCCUGAUCCAGCAAGGCCGCGUGAGUGAUGAAGGCCUUAGGGUUGGAAAGCACUUUUACCCGGGAUGAUAAUGACAGUACCGGGAGAAUAAGCACCGGCUAACUCCGUG
Molecule: ribosomal RNA, 433 nt
Filed under: uncultured bacterium
Lineage: Bacteria
Description: partial 16S ribosomal RNA
Rfam family: Bacterial small subunit ribosomal RNA
Source: RNAcentral